CUACGGGUUGCUGCAGUAGGGAAUAUUGCGCAAUGGGCGAAAGCCUGACGCAGCCAUGCCGCGUGAGUGAUGAAGGCCUUCGGGUCGUAAAGCUCUUUUCUGAGGGAAGAACAUCCAGAGGAGGAAAUGUCUCUGGUCUGACGGUACCUCAGGAAUAAGGAACGGCUAACUCCGUGCCAGCAGCCGCGGUAAUACGGAGGUUCCAAGCGUUGUUCGGAAUUACUGGGCGUAAAGGGAGCGCAGGCGGACAGGUCAGUGGAAAGUGGAAUCCCGGGGCUUAACCUCGGACGUGCUUUCCAUACUGCCUGACUUGAGUUCGUGAGAGGAAGGCGGAAUCCAGGGUGUAGCGGUGAAAUGCUAGAUAUCCUGAGGAACACCAGUGGCGAAAGCGGCCUUCUGGCACGAAACUGACGCUGAGGCUCGAAAGCGUGGGUAGCGAACGGGAUUAGAUACCCCCGUAGUC
RNAcentral lists this ribosomal RNA (463 nucleotides) under uncultured bacterium. RNAcentral's name for it is "partial 16S ribosomal RNA". It matches the Rfam family "Bacterial small subunit ribosomal RNA", at positions 339 to 795 of the family's 1533-position model. The record is from RNAcentral.